Molecule: long non-coding RNA, 267 nt
Filed under: Elaeis guineensis (African oil palm)
Lineage: Eukaryota; Viridiplantae; Streptophyta; Magnoliopsida; Arecales; Arecaceae
Description: long non-coding RNA (EGUI_LNC033109)
Source: RNAcentral
GGUAAGAAUGCCAUUUAUCUCCUGACUUGUUUAUUCUAUGUUCAAAGGUUCUACCUAAAUUUCUUAAGUAAUUAGCUAUGCAACUUCAUUUUGAGAACUUGGUCAAGGGGGCCCAAUAGUAUCCCAUAUCCUAUAUGUAGAUGAUAUUCUUUUGAUUACAAGAGCUACUACAAGGGAUAGCAUAUGCCUUAAAGCUAUUGUCAAUGCCUACUAUACUAUGCCAAGCUAGAUGAUCAAUAUAGUCGAGUCCUAUAUUACCCUUAAUCC